Molecule: non-coding RNA, 47 nt
Organism: Acromyrmex echinatior (Panamanian leafcutter ant)
Lineage: Eukaryota; Metazoa; Arthropoda; Insecta; Hymenoptera; Formicidae
Source: Rfam
AUAUCGGCCCUUUUUAGGGCCAAUAAAUUCUUAAAACGUGGAAAUCU